GGAUGUGAGGGCAAUCUGGCUGUAGAAUCUGUCACCUCAUUGAUCGCCAAGGUUGAUUCGGCUGAUCUGUGUGGCUAGGCGGGUGUCCCCUUCCUCCCUCACUGCUUC
Molecule: unclassified non-coding RNA, 108 nt
Organism: Mustela putorius furo (domestic ferret)
Lineage: Eukaryota; Metazoa; Chordata; Mammalia; Carnivora; Mustelidae
Gene: 7SK
Rfam family: 7SK RNA
About the family: 7SK was discovered as an abundant small nuclear RNA in the mid-70s but a possible function has only recently been suggested.
Source: Ensembl